UACAAGGUGCUGCAUGGUUGUCGUCAGCUCGUGCCGUGAGGUGUCGGGUUAAGUCCCAUAACGAGCGCAACCCCUAUCAUUAGUUGCCAUCAGGUCAAGCUGGGGACUCUAAUGAAACUGCCUACGCAAGUAGUGAGGAAGGUGGGGAUGACGUCAAGUCCUCAUGGCCUUUAUGACCAGGGCUACACACGUACUACAAUGGCCGAUACAAAGGGCAGCGACACUGCGAGGUGAAGCCAAUCCCGUAAAAUCGGUCUCAGUCCGGAUUGGAGUCUGCAACUCGACUCCAUGAAGUUGGAAUCGCUAGUAAUCGUGGAUCAGCAUGCCACGGUGAAUACGUUCCCGGGCCUU
RNAcentral lists this ribosomal RNA (351 nucleotides) under uncultured Desulfobulbus sp. Its description in RNAcentral is "bacterial SSU rRNA". It matches the Rfam family "Bacterial small subunit ribosomal RNA", at positions 1032 to 1382 of the family's 1533-position model. Lineage: Bacteria; Pseudomonadati; Thermodesulfobacteriota; Desulfobulbia; Desulfobulbales; Desulfobulbaceae. The record is from RNAcentral.